This 430-nucleotide ribosomal RNA is filed under the name uncultured Duganella sp. RNAcentral describes it as "bacterial SSU rRNA". It matches the Rfam family "Bacterial small subunit ribosomal RNA", at positions 354 to 776 of the family's 1533-position model. Lineage: Bacteria; Pseudomonadati; Pseudomonadota; Betaproteobacteria; Burkholderiales; Oxalobacteraceae. The record is from RNAcentral.
GUGGGGAAUUUUGGACAAUGGGCGCAAGCCUGAUCCAGCAAUGCCGCGUGAGUGAAGAAGGCCUUCGGGUUGUAAAGCUCUUUUGUCAGGGAAGAAACGGGUUUUUCUAAUACAGAGGCCUAAUGACGGUACCUGAAGAAUAAGCACCGGCUAACUACGUGCCAGCAGCCGCGGUAAUACGUAGGGUGCAAGCGUUAAUCGGAAUUACUGGGCGUAAAGCGUGCGCAGGCGGUUUUGUAAGUUUGUCGUGAAAUCCCCGGGCUCAACCUGGGAAUGGCGAUGAAGACUGCAAGGCUAGAGUUUGGCAGAGGGGGGUAGAAUUCCACGUGUAGCAGUGAAAUGCGUAGAUAUGUGGAGGAACACCGAUGGCGAAGGCAGCCCCCUGGGUCAAAACUGACGCUCAUGCACGAAAGCGUGGGGAGCAAACAGG